This 85-nucleotide microRNA precursor is filed under the name Saimiri boliviensis boliviensis (Bolivian squirrel monkey). RNAcentral's name for it is "microRNA 577 (ENSSBOG00000000548.1)". It matches the Rfam family "mir-577 microRNA precursor family". Lineage: Eukaryota; Metazoa; Chordata; Mammalia; Primates; Cebidae. The record is from RNAcentral.
AGAGUAGAUAAAGUAUUGGUACCUGAGGAGUCUGAGGCCAGGUUUCAAUACUUUAUCUGAUUUUCAUUUCCUCAUACCUAGUUAC